UACGUAGGGUGCGAGCGUUGUCCGGAAUUAUUGGGCGUAAAGGGCUCGUAGGCGGUUUGUCGCGUCGGGAGUGAAAACCAGGUGCUUAACACCUGGCUUGCUUUCGAUACGGGCAGACUAGAGGUAUGCAGGGGAGAACGGAAUUCCUGGUGUAGCGGUGAAAUGCGCAGAUAUCGGGAGGAACACCGGUGGCGAAGGCGGUUCUCUGGGCCUUACCUGACGCUGAGGAGCGAAAGCGUGGGAGCGAACAGG
Molecule: ribosomal RNA, 252 nt
Filed under: uncultured bacterium
Lineage: Bacteria
Description: partial 16S ribosomal RNA
Rfam family: Bacterial small subunit ribosomal RNA
Source: RNAcentral